RNAcentral lists this transfer RNA (86 nucleotides) under Micromonospora sonchi. RNAcentral describes it as "tRNA-Ser". The record is from RNAcentral. Lineage: Bacteria; Bacillati; Actinomycetota; Actinomycetes; Micromonosporales; Micromonosporaceae.
CCGUAGUAGGCGAGGCGGGCGACGAUGUCGCUGCCGUCGUAGCGGGAGCGGGCCAGCGCCCGUGCGAUCCCGCCGCGCUCGACGGC